Non-coding RNA from Paramisgurnus dabryanus, 542 nucleotides. NCBI's taxonomy places the organism in Eukaryota, Metazoa, Chordata, Actinopteri, Cypriniformes, Cobitidae. The record is from RefSeq and is a predicted model, not a curated record.
CCAACAUUAUGUUGACCCUGGGACAACAUUUCAAUCGAGCGCGCUGAAUACCUGCUGGGAACACAGCCGUGGGAACAAAGCGCUUGUGCGUAUUACGUCAUUUUGUCACAUACCUAUUAUAUGUUUGCUGUUCUUCAUCUUUUUAAAUAUGAAGUCUAUCCAUGUUUGUGUUUACAGAGGUCAUGUACACUGUGGUCAACUUUGUGGACGCUGAAGAGGUUUCUGGGUAAAGAUGAUAGAAAUAUAAUGAAGUAACAGUGGAAGCUAAAACAUCAGACUGAUCCAGUCACUGAAGAAAUUGAUGUCACUGCAAUCUGGACAAAAUGAUACAACUAUAAAGAAGUAGCCUACUGUAAUGAAGCUGCAGAACAACACAGAGACUCUGAGGACAUCAACACAGAAAAUGAAGUAAGAAGAUGUGCAUUAUGAAGUUCUUUGAUCAUAUAUUGUUGUAUCUUUGUACAGUUUAAUGUAAACUUUCCAAAAUGUACAACUUUAUGUCAUUUGAUUUGUUGUGUGUGUGUGUGUGUGUGUGUGUGUGU